GGAACCUGGGACUUGGAGAGUUGCUCAUGGCCUACUACAAUGUAGGGGCAGACCUGUCAUCUGACUCCUUUCCUGAGUGGUGCGUCCUCUGACACUGGGGCAAGAAGGCAUCGGCACACGGGAGAGACAGGCCAUGACUCUGAGGACUAACCUGUGGUGGGAAGAUGGCAGACUCCAGUGGUCUACAGAUCCUGCUGACUACUGAGCAUCUCAGACCUAUCCUGGUAACCAGGACGACAGAGACCCUUAGACCUCUGCACAGGAUGAUGUUAACAGGAUUUAUUUCAGCCUGCUCUUGAAACUUGCUGUCCUCAUUCAUCCUCAUUAUCUCUCAGUCUUCUGAGUCAUCUCACCUGAAGGUCCUAGAGUUCUGCUUCAUUUCAGGAACUGCGGGCAACCACGUAGAGGAGACUCUCCUGACCUGCCAAGUGGCUCCAGCAAUUGCCAAGUGAUACUUCUGAGCCCUCCCCUCCACAUUGUGUCUGGUUAUGGAGACCGUCCCUGGGGUGUCUGCUGCUGACCAGCUGUAGCCUGAACCCUAUCUCUGGGCUGAGUUGGAAGGACCCACAAGCCUCUGACCUUCACCUUCCCAACAGGGUGAUUUCAAUGGCAAAGCAGUGUUCAUGAGGAAAUAUAAAGAUAUCCAUGGAAUCCAAGAAUGGCGAGCAGACCCUGGGCUGGAUACUGACAGAGCAGGAUAGAACUCUUUAAGUACUUCUAAUGGGAAGAUGGUAGAACAGAAUACCCUUCAGAUGACUCUGCAAGUGAGAAGAGUCAGGGCAACAAAAGGGAAACUAUAUUCCUUGCAGAGAAAGAGAAGAACUCUUGAACCAACAGAAAAGUGACUGGAAACCUUAUUAUCAGUGUGGAGAAGCAAAAUGACAAAUCAGAGCAAAGUACAAAGUAAUUUGGAACUUCAGUCCCUGCUACCCUGUUCAUGGUGGGGAACUGAUCCUGCAAGCAUAAGGUAAGUGGGAGAUGGCAGAAAACCCCAAUGAUGACAGCAAACUGGCAGUCCUAACUGUGGGGCAAAGCCAUGCUUCUUACAAGCUUCCCUCCCCUUCCAUGAAUAAGACUUUUUAUUUGUCCCUAUUAAAAAUCUGAAUU
Long non-coding RNA from Sciurus carolinensis (gray squirrel), 1107 nucleotides. RefSeq lists it as uncharacterized. The transcript is spliced from 4 exons. The record is from RefSeq and is a predicted model, not a curated record. Lineage: Eukaryota; Metazoa; Chordata; Mammalia; Rodentia; Sciuridae.